GUGCUCGCUUGGGCAGCACAUAUACUAAAACUGGAACGAUGCAGAGAAGAUUAGCGUGGCCCAUGUGCAAGGAUGGAACGCAAAUUCAUACAGUGUUCCAUAUUUUU
Small nuclear RNA from Octodon degus (degu), 107 nucleotides. The record is from Ensembl. Lineage: Eukaryota; Metazoa; Chordata; Mammalia; Rodentia; Octodontidae.